AUUAUCCUCAUGUCAGACGUGGAGGAAUAUUGAUUAUCACUCAUGACUUUGUUAAAAACAACGCACACAAUUUGAAUGAGGCACUCAAGUUAAAACUUCGCUCUCCUAAAAAGAAAUGGAACAUCAAACUAUGCUACUAUGAAAACGAAUCUGGAAGUGAAAGGAUUUGGUACUUAAGCAACAUUCAGCCAUUUCAAGAGUAUGUUCAGUUGUCUGCAAAUGACCACCUGCUGUUGCACAUCAUUACUAAAAAAGUCUUUCUUGCCACUGUGUACAAUGAAAAUGGAUCUGUUAAGGAUGUUGAAGUGCAGCGUCAAACUCUGAACAACGGUUAGAUAAAUCUAAUUAGAGUAUAUACUUCAAUUAUUGCAACAGUAACGAAAUAGUUCUCAUUUUCAUCUUGUCUCAGCUGCUGGACCAUCACAAUUGCCCUCCUCAGUAUCGAUCAAAACUGAGUUCGAAACUCCUCCUCAGUAUGUAUUCAAAUACAAAAAGGCGCAACAUUCGAGAUUGGCAUUGCGCAAGAACUUUGUUCUAGAAUCGUCUUUACAGGAUAAGCAAUUCAUCACAGUUCAGUACGAAGAUCAGAGGAAAAAGUGGAACAUGAAAUUGCUAAAGAGACGUCCAAGAAGCGUGAUUUACGAACUGGGUGGUACAUGGUCAAAGUUUGCUCGCACCAUCCCACUAAUGAAUGGUGUUGAGUAUAAAGUUAUCUUCGAUCACAAAAUGCAGGUUCUCAUUCUGCAGAAACAGAGG
Salvia miltiorrhiza (redroot sage) is the source of this 756-nucleotide long non-coding RNA. RefSeq lists it as uncharacterized. The transcript is spliced from 4 exons. The record is from RefSeq and is a predicted model, not a curated record. Lineage: Eukaryota; Viridiplantae; Streptophyta; Magnoliopsida; Lamiales; Lamiaceae.